CCUACGGGUGGCAGCAGUGAGGAAUAUUGGUCAAUGGACGAGAGUCUGAACCAGCCAAGUAGCGUGAAGGAUGACUGCCCUAUGGGUUGUAAACCUCUUUUAUAUGGGAAUAAAAUGUUCCACGUGUGGGAUUUUGUAUGUACCAUAUGAAUAAGGAUCGGCUAACUCCGUGCCAGCAGCCGCGGUAAUACGGAGGAUCCGAGCGUUAUCCGGAUUUAUUGGGUUUAAAGGGAGCGUAGGGGGAUUGUUAAGGCAGUUGUGAAAGUUUGCGGCUCAACCGUAAAAUUGCAGUUGAAACUGGCAGUCUUGAGUACAGUAGAGGUGGGCGGAAUGCGUGGUGUAGCGGUGAAAUGCUUAGAUAUCACGAAGAACUCCGAUUGCGAAGGCAGCUCACUGGACUGCAACUGACGCUGAGGCUCGAAAGUGUGGGUAUCGAACAGGAGUAGAUACCCUAGUAGUC
This 460-nucleotide ribosomal RNA is filed under the name uncultured bacterium. Its description in RNAcentral is "partial 16S ribosomal RNA". It matches the Rfam family "Bacterial small subunit ribosomal RNA", at positions 338 to 795 of the family's 1533-position model. The record is from RNAcentral.